Molecule: ribosomal RNA, 442 nt
Filed under: uncultured bacterium
Lineage: Bacteria
Description: bacterial SSU rRNA
Rfam family: Bacterial small subunit ribosomal RNA
Source: RNAcentral
UCCUGGCUCAGAGUGAACGCUGGCGGCGUGCUUAACACAUGCAAGUCGAACGGUAACAGGAAAUAGCUUGCUAUUUUGCUGACGAGUGGCGCACGGGUGAGUAAAACUAUAGUUAAUGUACCCCAAAGACUGGGAUAGCCACUGGAAACGGUGAUUAAUACUAGAUACACCUUCUUAUCAUAAGGUAAGAAGGGAAAUGUCUUUUCGCUUUGGGAUCAGACUAUAUCCUAUCAGCUAGUUGGUGAGGUAAAGGCUCACCAAGGCAAUGACGGGUAGCGGUUCUGAGAGGAUGAUCCGCCACACUGGUACUGAGACACGGACCAGACUCCUACGGGAGGCAGCAGUGAGGAAUAUUGCACAAUGGGGGGAACCCGUCGAUGCAGCAACGCCGCGUGGAGGAUGACGCAUUUCGGUGUGUAACUCCUUUAUAUGUCAAGAAAAU